RNAcentral lists this ribosomal RNA (851 nucleotides) under uncultured bacterium. Its description in RNAcentral is "bacterial SSU rRNA". It matches the Rfam family "Bacterial small subunit ribosomal RNA", at positions 21 to 906 of the family's 1533-position model. The record is from RNAcentral.
GGCUCAGGAUGAACGCUGGCGGCGUGCCUUAAGCAUGCAAGUCGAACGGGAUUUUGAGUCGCAAGAUUUAAAUUCCAGUGGCGGACGGGUGAGGAUAAGCAGGGAACGUACCCUUUUCUGUGGGACAGCUCGUCGAAAGACGGGGUAAUACCGCAUGAGGCCGUAAGGUCAAAGCGCUUAACCGCGCGGAGGAGGAGCGGCCCUGCAUCUAUCAGCUAGUUGGUGGGGUAAAGGCCUACCAAGGCGACGACGGAUAGGGGGUGUGAGAGCACGACCCCCCACAAUGGCACUGAGACACGGGCCAUACAUCUACGGAUGGCAGCAACUGGGAAUAUUCGGCAAUGGACGAAAGUCUGACCGAGCGACGCCGCGUGAGGGAUGAAGGUUCUUGGAUCGUAAACCUCUUUUGCCAAGGUCGACAGGCUUUGGCGAAUAAGCACCUACAAACUACGUGCCAGCAGUCGCGGUAAUACGUAGGGUGCGAGCGUUAUCCGGAUUUACUGGGCGUAAAGUGUCGUGUAGGCGGUAUGCCGCAUCGUAUCUGAAAGCUCGAGGCUUAACCUCGACGUUGGAUACGAGAUGGGUAAACUACGAGGAAUGGAGAGGAAAGGGGAACUCAUGGUGAAGCAGUGAAAUGCGUUGAUAUCAUGAGGAACACCGAAGGCGAAGGCACCUUUCUGGCCAUUUCCUGACGCUGAGACACGAAAGCUAGGGGAGCGAAGCAGAUUAGAGACCUGCGUAGUCCUAGCCCUAAACGCAUGUCUGCUAGAUGGGCAGAGCAAUCUGUCUGUCGUAAGCUAACGCGUUAAGCAGACCGCCUGGGGAAUACGAGCGCAAGCUUAAACUCAAAG